ACCCAAUAGAUACCCGGGUAGUCCACGCCCUAAACGAUGUCAACUGGUUGUCGGGGAAGUUAUUCCUUGGUAACGAAAGCUAAACGCGUGAAAGUUGACCGCCUGGGGAGUACGGCCGCAAGGUUAAAACUCAAAGGAAUUGACGGGGACCCGCACAAGCGGUGGAUUAUGUGGAUUAAUUCGAUGCAACGCGAAAAACCUUAACCUACCCUUGACUUGUCAGGAAUCCCGCAGAGAUGUGGGAGUGCCCGAGAGGGAACCUGAACACAGGUGCUGCAUGGCUGUCGUCAGCUCGUGUCGUGAGAUGUUGGGUUAAGUCCCGCAACGAGCGCAACCCUUGCCAUUAGUUGCCACAUUCAGUUGGGCACUCUAAUGGGACUGCCGGUGACAAACCGGAGGAAGGUGGGGAUGACGUCAAGUCCUCAUGGCCCUUAUGGGUAGGGCUUCACA
Molecule: ribosomal RNA, 450 nt
Filed under: uncultured bacterium
Lineage: Bacteria
Description: bacterial SSU rRNA
Rfam family: Bacterial small subunit ribosomal RNA
Source: RNAcentral